Molecule: transfer RNA, 76 nt
Filed under: Clostridia bacterium
Lineage: Bacteria; Bacillati; Bacillota; Clostridia
Description: tRNA-Trp
Rfam family: tRNA
About the family: Transfer RNA (tRNA) molecules are approximately 80 nucleotides in length. Their secondary structure includes four short double-helical elements and three loops (D, anti-codon, and T loops).
Source: RNAcentral
AGGGGAAUAGCUCAGUUGGUAGAGCAGCGGUCUCCAAAACCGCGUGCCGUGGGUUCAAGUCCUACUUCCCCUGCCA